RNAcentral lists this ribosomal RNA (551 nucleotides) under uncultured Acaulospora. RNAcentral's name for it is "SSU rRNA". It matches the Rfam family "Eukaryotic small subunit ribosomal RNA", at positions 548 to 1098 of the family's 1831-position model. Lineage: Eukaryota; Fungi; Glomeromycota; Glomeromycetes; Diversisporales; Acaulosporaceae. The record is from RNAcentral.
UUGGAGGGCAAGUCUGGUGCCAGCAGCCGCGGUAAUUCCAGCUCCAAUAGCGUAUAUUAAAGUUGUUGCAGUUAAAAAGCUCGUAGUUGAAUUUCGGGAUUCGUCGGUUGGUCGGGCUUCACUGUCCGCACUGACCUGACGGAUUCCUACCUUCUGAAUAACCAGCAUGCUAUUAAGUUAGUGCGUUGGGGAAGCAGAGCUAUUACCUUGAAAAAAUUAGAGUGCUUAAAGCAGGCUUGUGCUUGAAUAGAUUAGCAUGGAAUAAUAAAAUAGGACGGCAUGGUUCUAUUUUGUUGGUUUCUAGGAUCACCGUAAUGAUUAAUAGGGAUAGUUGGGGGCAUUAGUAUUCAAUUGUCAGAGGUGAAAUUCUUGGAUUUAUUGAAGACUAACUUCUGCGAAAGCAUUUGCCAAGGAUGUUUUCAUUAAUCAAGAACGAAAGUUAGGGGAUCGAAGACGAUCAGAUACCGUCGUAGUCUUAACCAUAAACUAUGCCGACUAGGGAUCGGACGAUGUUAAUUUUUUAAUGACUCGUUCGGCGCCUUACGGGAAAC